GACGAACGCUGGCGGCGUGCUAAACACAUGCAAGUCGAACGGAAAGGCCCUGCUUUUGUGGGGUGCUCGAGUGGUGAACGGGUGAGUAACACGUGAGUAACCUGCCCUUGACUUUGGGAUAACUUCAGGAAACUGGGGCUAAUACCGGAUAGGAGCUCCUGCUGCAUGGUGGGGGUUGGAAAGUUUCGGCGGUUGGGGAUGGACUCGCGGCUUAUCAGCUUGUUGGUGGGGUAGUGGCUUACCAAGGCUUUGACGGGUAGCCGGCCUGAGAGGGUGACCGGCCACAUUGGGACUGAGAUACGGCCCAGACUCCUACGGGAGGCAGCAGUGGGGAAUAUUGCACAAUGGGCGGAAGCCUGAUGCAGCAACGCCGCGUGCGGGAUGACGGCCUUCGGGUUGUAAACCGCUUUCGCCUGUGACGAAGCGUGAGUGACGGUAAUGGGUAAAGAAGCACCGGCUAACUACGUG
RNAcentral lists this ribosomal RNA (468 nucleotides) under uncultured bacterium. Its description in RNAcentral is "partial 16S ribosomal RNA". It matches the Rfam family "Bacterial small subunit ribosomal RNA", at positions 28 to 507 of the family's 1533-position model. The record is from RNAcentral.